CAUUCGGCUGGGAUCUUUUGGCCAGGAUGCAGUGGCCCAGAUUCCGCGGCUCCAGCGCCCAUUUUCCAACUGUUUCCACAUCCUCAACGACGAACGCGGUUGUAAACAAAGGCCGUGGUGUUGGUUUUACGAGUUGAUGAUGGCUGGUGAUGAUGAUGCUCGGCUCUGUGACUCAAGGAGCUGUCAUCGCAAUAAAACGCGGGCAGCGGCACGUGAAAUUCGAUUGGGACGCACGGCCGUAAGGACGCCAGUGAAGCCCCACAAUAUCCUGGAACGGGUUAAGAAUGCAAACAAAUUUAAAUAUUAAAUGCGAUGCGAGCGGUGGACAAAGGUAACUAUUCAGAGGUGAAUGUUGCUGCUCGGCAGUGGGUUUGUUUGGUGUCCUUCCAGGGCGACAGGACAUCUGCUCGACUGCCCACGUCCAGAACCGCGCAGAAGUAACCAAAUCGCCCGACGACCAACGACCAACUUUUGGCCCAAGUACACUUGGCUGUCUGCCGUUUUGCUGGCUUCUGUUUCUGUGCGCGAAGUUUGUCGUGUUUUUCCAAAUUGUUAUUUUACUUUUUCUACAAAAUUUCUCAACGCCCCGAAGGCAGAUAUGCUGCCAAAAGUUUUCCUCCACCAUAUUUAUGGCAGUUCUUCUUACUUCCCCGUUCACCACGGAAUGGCUGCUUCCGGCUAUCUCGCCCGCCGGAUGGGAUCUCCAAUUGUAACGCUCCCGUGACCUACCCUGUAGUUCCGGGCUUUUGUUUAAAUGGCGUUCGGCACAUUGUCGGACUGCUGGCUCGAUUAUCAGAAGCUCGUCUCUACAGGUAUCUCACAGGGUAGAAAGAAACCUCAAUAUGAGUGAACUGAAGUAACUGAAAAUGAGACUUCUUUUAUAAAACUUCUUUUAUUUUACUCCCGAUACUGAUAUCUUUUCGAUGAAGAUGAAGUGUAAGUGUAAUUGAAAAACUUUCAAACUAAAAUUUUAGAAAAUCAUAUUUUUAAAGCCUUAACUUUCAAUGAUUUUGUGAUUUUUAGAAACCAUGCUUUUAGUAGACGCACGAGUUCAGUUCUCGUUUACUUUCCACAUCACCACCCAUUAACACUUUACAUGAUUUUUCACCCCAUUUUUGGCAGAACUUCAACAUUAGCUUUCAGCGUCUCUGAUUUUCCUUUUUAUGCCGCAGAAAUACAAAAGCGAAGGGCAUGGAUUGCGAGGCAAGGGAAAAGACAUCAAACCCCAAAGCAAAUACCAGACAUAAACAAGGCAAACACCAUGCGGCGUAUACUUAAUAUCAGGCGCAAACGAGCAGGACCAGUACCAGGACCCACCUAUAAACGUCAUCAUAACCCAGCAAACAACGGGGACGCGGAAAUGAGGAAAAAAAACACCACGUCAGGCCCAUCGAAAUCAUUAUUUAUGUAGGAAAACGUGGCGAGCUGACCCAGCUCCUUUCGGAAUUUUCUCUCUCUUCCUGACAGCAUCUGCAGACAAUAGCUUCGGCGUGUUUGUAUAUGCGGUUUCACUUCCUCUGCGAGUCGUGUUGUGAUUUUCGCCUCUGAUUUUCCACCGUUUUCCAGCACUUUACGGGGGAAUUUGGCUAAGUGAAGCGCAACUUUUACGUGGGCCUGAAUUAUUAAUAAACGUUAAAAGGCAACGCCAAUUGCUGAGCCAGCGCUCAGACACCAGCAGCAUUUUCCCUUCGAUUUCCACAGGUAUUUGAAGGUGUUCUUCCGCUAGUUCUCUGGUUUCCCGUACCGUAGUUGAGUUGAUGUUUUAUGUGCUAAGUAGUUGGUAAGUCACCUGCGACAAGUUGGCUGAAAGCUUAAUGCUUCCUUGGCGUUUUUUCUUCCUCAUCUGGUUUUUCUUACAGUC
Molecule: non-coding RNA, 1861 nt
Organism: Drosophila melanogaster (fruit fly)
Lineage: Eukaryota; Metazoa; Arthropoda; Insecta; Diptera; Drosophilidae
Source: Ensembl